UCCUACGGGAGGCAGCAGUCGGGAAUUUUGGGCAAUGGGCGAAAGCCUGACCCAGCAACGCCGCGUGAAGGACGAAAUCCUUCGGGAUGUAAACUUCGCGAGAACGGGAAGAAUAAGUGAGAGUUAAUAUCUCUCGCGAUGACGGUACCGUUUGUAAGCUCCGGCUAACUCCGUGCCAGCAGCCGCGGUAAUACGGGGGGAGCAAGCGUUGUUCGGAUUUACUGGGCGUAAAGGGCGCGUAGGCGGCCACCGCAAGUCGACUGUGAAAUCUCCGGGCUUAACCCGGAAAGGUCAGCCGAUACUGCGGGGCUAGAGUGCAGAAGGGGCAACUGGAAUUCUCGGUGUAGCGGUGAAAUGCGUAGAUAUCGAGAGGAACACCUGCGGCGAAGGCGGGUUGCUGGGCUGACACUGACGCUGAGGCGCGAAAGCUAGGGGAGCGAACGGGAUUAGAUACCCCGGUAGUCCUAGCCUUAAACGAUGAAUGCUUGGUGUCUGGGGUUUUAUAGUCCCCGGGUGCCGUCGCUAACGCUUUAAGCAUUCCGCCUGGGGAGUACGGUCGCAAGACUGAAACUCAAAGGAAUUGACGGA
Molecule: ribosomal RNA, 588 nt
Filed under: uncultured bacterium
Lineage: Bacteria
Description: bacterial SSU rRNA
Rfam family: Bacterial small subunit ribosomal RNA
Source: RNAcentral